UCUGAGCUCCAGUGUUUGGGCUGGAAGUUGCGGACUAGUAGCUGCGGCGGCACUGGAGUGUAGGCGCGCGGGGUUGUUGCCAGGGGCAUAGCGUGAGAACAAGCAAGGGAGUCCUGCUGAAUUGCAGCUUAGGAAGCCCUGAAUCCCGGAGCAUGUAGAAUCACAAUUCUUGUUUCAUGAAGUUUGUUAAGUAAUUUGAACAAUGGUAAAUUUAUAUCAAGAAUCAUGUGAGGAUACUUAAGACCGGCCGGUACUUUCAAGUUUUCUCCUGCCCAGAUCUGUUUGGAAGAAAUCUAGUCUUAUCUGCCUCAAAAGUCCAGCAGAGAAAAAUAGCUGAAAUAAAUGAAGCCUGUGAUUACUUGGUUCUGUGUUUACCUAGA
Macaca mulatta (Rhesus monkey) is the source of this 380-nucleotide long non-coding RNA. RefSeq lists it as uncharacterized. The record is from RefSeq and is a predicted model, not a curated record. Lineage: Eukaryota; Metazoa; Chordata; Mammalia; Primates; Cercopithecidae.